RNAcentral lists this transfer RNA (112 nucleotides) under archaeon. Its description in RNAcentral is "tRNA-Ser". It matches the Rfam family "tRNA". Rfam says of the family: Transfer RNA (tRNA) molecules are approximately 80 nucleotides in length. Their secondary structure includes four short double-helical elements and three loops (D, anti-codon, and T loops). Further hydrogen bonds mediate the characteristic L-shaped molecular structure. tRNAs have two regions of fundamental functional importance: the anti-codon, which is responsible for specific mRNA codon recognition, and the 3' end, to which the tRNAs corresponding amino acid is attached (by aminoacyl-tRNA synthetases). tRNAs cope with the degeneracy of the genetic code in two manners: having more than one tRNA (with a specific anti-codon) for a particular amino acid; and 'wobble' base-pairing, i.e. permitting non-standard base-pairing at the 3rd anti-codon position. The record is from RNAcentral.
GCUGGGGUGGCCGAGCCAGGCUAAAGGCGCUGGACUUGAGAUCCAGUUCCACGAAAGACGUUUGUAAAAACGGUUGAAUGGAGCGCAGGUUCGAAUCCUGCUCCCAGCGCCA